AUUGAACGCUGGCGGCAGGCCUAACACAUGCAAGUCGAGCGGAUGAAGGGAGCUUGCUCCUGGAUUCAGCGGCGGACGGGUGAGUAAUGCCUAGGAAUCUGCCUGGUAGUGGGGGAUAACGUCCGGAAACGGGCGCUAAUACCGCAUACGUCCUGAGGGAGAAAGUGGGGGAUCUUCGGACCUCACGCUAUCAGAUGAGCCUAGGUCGGAUUAGCUAGUUGGUGGGGUAAAGGCCUACCAAGGCGACGAUCCGUAACUGGUCUGAGAGGAUGAUCAGUCACACUGGAACUGAGACACGGUCCAGACUCCUACGGGAGGCAGCAGUGGGGAAUAUUGGGCAAUGGGCGAAAGCCUGAUCCAGCCAUGCCGCGUGUGUGAAGAAGGUCUUCGGAUUGUAAAGCACUUUAAGUAGGGAGGAAGGGCAGUAAGUUAAUACCUUGCUGUUUUGACGUUACCUACAGAAUAAGCACCGGCUAACUUCGUG
This 484-nucleotide ribosomal RNA is filed under the name uncultured bacterium. Its description in RNAcentral is "partial 16S ribosomal RNA". It matches the Rfam family "Bacterial small subunit ribosomal RNA", at positions 30 to 507 of the family's 1533-position model. The record is from RNAcentral.